Bolinopsis microptera is the source of this 230-nucleotide long non-coding RNA. RefSeq lists it as uncharacterized. NCBI's taxonomy places the organism in Eukaryota, Metazoa, Ctenophora, Tentaculata, Lobata, Bolinopsidae. The transcript is spliced from 3 exons. The record is from RefSeq and is a predicted model, not a curated record.
UAUCAGGCAAGGUGUAAAGAGUUAUUCGCAUACAUUACGUUUAGAAGCUAACUUACGUUGGCUAACGUAAUGUGUGAACAAACUUUAAUUAAGUUAGAUUAUUGACUGGAAAAUAUUUCUAUAUCAAAACAGUAGAAGCAAUCUCAAAAAAAAUAUGUAAAUCCUUUUUUCUCGAAAAUGAAUCAUAAUCCGAAUCAAAGAAUAACCUUAAUUUGAUAUAUUAUAAAAAU